CCAGUCUCAUUUUUCUCCAGGCUCUUCCUCUUAAAUUUUCUUCCAUUUAAACUGUAAGAAAUGCCAAAAGGAAGACAACUGUAUCUGUGUCCAAGUUCUUCUGGAAAGGAGGAAGCCUUGAAAGGGUGGUGUUGAAAGUAAUGAAGUGUCAAGAAUACCGAUGACAUGGGACACACGGUGCUUCCCUUGCAUAGCUUGUACCCAAACUGGACUAUUCAACCUGGAAAUUUGAGAAGGAAUGAAGAGAAUCAGAAAACAGCUCUCCCUCUUAGAGCUUACCAAGCCACUGGUUCCAGUCCAAGAUAAGAACAGAAAAGGAAAUUAACACUUCUGGACACUUAUUAUUUUCUCAACAAUUACCUUUCUUGCUGGUAUCUCAG
Molecule: long non-coding RNA, 380 nt
Organism: Pipistrellus kuhlii (Kuhl's pipistrelle)
Lineage: Eukaryota; Metazoa; Chordata; Mammalia; Chiroptera; Vespertilionidae
Exons: 3
Source: RefSeq, a predicted model, not a curated record